GGACAAUCUGCAUACCAAUCGACUCAUCUGUGCACACAGGCUGAGAACAAUGCAGGGAGAGAUGCGGAAAGGCCUGUGCUGCGAUGACAAUGCUUCCAGUGUGCUGACCUCGUCAGCGAAGCAAACAAAAGUACAGUCUCUUUGGAGGAGACAUUAAUGAGUCAUUAAGAACGGGUACAGCUGCGUGGUGCAAGCACUUCGUUAAAAAUAUUCUUCUCAUUUUGUGUCUGUCCCGUAAUUAUAAUGGAAGUAUUGUGCAAGUCAGCCAGUCAGCGCAUGCAGAAAAAUAUUUAUGUUUUACAAUAUCUGCACGGUUUUUAAAGUGCAUUGUCAAGUGUGGCUGCUGUACCGCGUUUUGCCUGUUGUCGCCUCUUACUGACAGCCUCAGCUUUAAAACGCCCUGCACCCGCGUUAUGACAGUCACCGCUCUGUCUCCGUACGUGCCUGGUGCACAUCCCGGCCACCAGGGAAGGCGCACUGUGGAGCUCUGCCGUCUGCCCUGCUGAAUUUGGGGAAAACAAGGCUGUACGCUCCUCCAUCGCGAGGCCAUGGCUCCUGCUCCCUCCUCUCCUCAUGGUCAGGCCAGCCCGUGGGGCCCACGGCCACAGUGCCCACCCAGGCAGGAGACCCCAGAGCAGAGUAAGGAAACCCAAUGUGCCUUUGAGAGAACCGUUUAGAAACUGCCCUCAACUGUCUUUAAAGCUGGAGAAGUCCCUGAAGGUCACCCAAGGUGCUCACUGUGGGGACGAGGAGAGUGGAUCUGGGGAGGGGAGAGGCCGGCUCGGGGCUGCAUCAGGGGCCCCCAUUUAAUCCACGUGCAUGGAGCAGUUCCUGAGGAUGCUGGGGGCAGGACCACCAUCAACAGGAGCGAGCGGCUGGAGGGACGGGAGGCAGCAUUGGGGACCACACGUCCCCCAUCUGUUACAGACCCACGGGCGCUUCCAGCCCCCAAAGGACGCUGUCCUUGGUAAGUGUCUCAAAACUAAGUUUCCUUAAGAAAAGAAGUUGGGAAUGUGAGCUUCUUUCAUGACAUCGUCAGGCUCCAGGGACUGCCUGCCUUCUCACCCAGACGGAGGCAGGACUGCCCCCAGUUAGCUCUGGGCUGGUACGGGCAGGAUGGAACGCACCACCGGGCUGGGCCAGCAUCUUCGUGUCCUGCUCCCAGGAGACCCCACAUCUGUGGGUGACUCUUCAGGGCCUGCUGGUCCAACCGAGGCAGCUGGGGUGGCGCACCCUGUCAGGCCUCUUCCUUGAGCUUCCGUCCUCGGUGACCUCUGAGGAAGGUGGAAGGCGGAGGGGGAGCAGGUGGUCUGAGCAGGCAGCUUCCUGGCAGGAAGGGGGGCUGUGGAGGCCCCACCCCCUUUCUGGCACCUUCUGCCCACUCUGCCAGCGAGUCACAUCCCGGAAGGCCGUCCCUGGCCACUGUCUCAUCAUUCCUCAACGCGGACGUGGUCAGGACAAGGUGAUGGAGCCCAGGCAUUCGGACUCUGCUCGGGUGGGACUGGAGCCAGCGCCCGUGAAAGGACCCUCUGACACCGGGAAGGGUUCGGAUGCAGCCGGGCAUUAGCGGAUGGACAGGCUUCUGUUCACUUUGUUAGUGUUUCAACGACAUUGUAGGAUGUAAAAGGAAAACGCCCUUAUCUGUUAGCAAGAAAACGUUUACAGAAAUAGUGAGGCAUCUUGGACGGUGCUAGAAUGCUCGCAAGCACAGCAGAAGGGCGUUUGUGGAGAAAAACAAGACGGUGAAACGACCGGAAUUGAAACUGGGCGAUGGAGGGUGUACCCAAUUCCGCUGCUUUUGGGUCAGUUAGAAAUUCCCACAAUAAGACAUGAAGAAAAAAAUGUACACCACUCUCCCAUGGAGUCCUGGAUCUUGAAAAGGGCUUUAAAGAUAGAAGAACUUUUCAACUUAUCCCAUUUCCCACGGGGGAAACGCUCAAUUUGGGGAGGCCAGGAAGGCGCGGGCCAGGGGGAGCAGGAGGCAGGGCCGCCUGGCUCACCGGAGGCACAGGUGCUCUACCUGCCAUGACCCCGCGGUGACGUACCUGUCAACACUCUGAAGGGCUGGAGCUCAGCUUCCUGCCAGCAGUACAGCAGCAGGGCCAAGAGCGCCAGCAUUCCUCUACUUGCUGCCAUGCUCCCUCCCGCUGAAGGAGGGAGAGGAGGACCUCCUCCUGAAGGCCCCUCUGCUACCCGCCUCUGUCUCCAGGAUACUGUGGAAUGUCAGGGACCUGUGACCUCACGGCAGGAAGUGAGGGUCCUGCCCUCAGUGGGGAGAAUGGUGCCCAGGGUCUCUGACUGGGAAGGCUGGCUAGGGGGAUCCCCUCCACUUGCUCCCAUGGCCCGUUCACGUGCUUUCCUCGUCCUGCAGACCCUGAGGCCUGAAGGGGUAGGACGUUAAUCAGGACUCUGUGGAGUGGCAGAACCCAACAAAAUCUGCUCACAGGAAAAGAGAUGUAUUGGAAGGAGGCUGGAGAGCUCACUGUGUGACACGUAGCCAUCCAGGAAUGACACUACCAUCCACAGUCACCAUCCAGGAGGAAACUACCAUCCACAGUCACCAUCCCGGAAGGAAACUACCAUCCACAGUCACCAUCCAGGAAGGAAACUACCAUCCACAGUCACCAUCCAGGAGGAAACUACCAUCCACAGUCACCAUCCAGGAAUGAAACUACCAUCCACAGUCACCAUCCAGGAGGAAACUACCAUCCACAGUCACCAUCCAGGAAUGACACUACCAUCCACAGUCACCAUCCAGGAAUGACACUACCAUCCACUGUCACCAUCCAGGAAGGAAACUACCAUCCACAGUCACCAUCCAGGAAGUGACACUACCAUCCACAGUCACCAUCCAGGAGGAAACUACCAUCCACUGUCACCAUCCAGGAAGGAAACUACCAUCCACUGUCACCAUCCAGGAAUGAUACUACCAUCCACAGUCACCAUCCAGGAAGGAAACUACCAUCCACAGUCACCAUCCAGGAGGAAACUACCAUCCACAGUCACCAUCCAGGAAGGAAACUACCAUCCACAGUCACCAUCCAGGAAGGAAACUACCAUCCACAGUCACCAUCCAGGAAGGAAGUUACCAUCCACAGUAAUGAUCCAAGUAGUUAAACAACACCUCUGCAAUCAUCAGCCCCAGUUGGCCUGGACCUGAUCAAUAACUGUCUUUUUUCCUUUUUUUUUUUUUUGUGGUGAAGAAAAUUGGUUCUGAGCUAACAUCUGUUGCCAAUCUUCCUCUUUUUGCUUGAGGAAGAUUUUUGCUAAUCUAACAUCUGUGCCCAUCCUCCUCUACUCUGUAUGCAGCCACAACAUGGCUUGAUGAGUGGUGUGUAAGUCAGCAGAUGGCAUCUGAACCUGUGAAUACCGGGCCACUGAAGUGGAGCACAUGAACCCAACAACUAUGCCCCCAUUUUUGGGCUCGCCCCCAAUUUUCCUGUUUUUGUCUAUACUUCCAACAUAGGACCAACCAGAGAAAGUUGGAGUGCUGGUGGAAGGAAGUUCCAGGCAUUGUCUUGUAAGGGUGUGGGAAGCAAAGUUGGAGGGUUCCACCUGGGCAGGUGUGUUGUAAACAGUCACUUAAAACAACAUCAGUUUAUAAUCUUACCCGUUCUGGAGGCUGGAAGUCCAGAUUGGGUGUCACUGGGCUGAAAUCAAGCUGUCGACAGCGCUCCGUGACUCCUGCAGGCUCUAUAGGAUCUGUUCCCUUGCCUCUUCCAGCCUUUAGAGGCUACCACACUGCUUGGACGGCGGUCUCCUUCCUCCAUCUUCAAAGUCUGUCCUGUCUCUGAUUCUCUCUUCUGCCUCCCUCUGCCACUUCUGUAGGCCCUUGUCACUGCACUGCGCUCUGUGUUGGUUAAUUUUAUAUGUCAGCUUGGCUGGGCCAUGGUGCCCAGAUAUAGGGUCAAAUCUUAUUCUGGAUGUCUCUGUGAGGGUGUUUUUGAUGAGAUUAAUGUUUAAGCUGGUGGACUUUGAGCAAGGCAGAUUGCUCUCCAUAAUGUGGGUGGGCUUCAUACAAUAGGUUGAAGGCCUAAAUAGAAUAAAAAGACUGACUUCUUCCAAGGAAGAGGAACUUCUGCCCCAAGAUGGCCUUCAGACUUGAACUGCAACAUUGGCUCUUCCCUGGGUCUCCAGCCUGCCAGCCCACCGUCCAGAUUUUGCACUUGCCAGCCUCCAUAAUCACAUGAGCCAAUUCCUUAACAUAAACCUCUCUUUCUACGUGUAUACACCACUUACUGUCUCUGUUUCUCUGGAGAACCGUAACUAAUACAGGCCCACGUGAAUAAUCCAGGAUAAUCUGUCCAUCUCAAAUUCAGAUGGUUAGCAAUUUUAAUUCCAUCUGCAGCCUGUUACUCUUUGCCACAGAACUCAAAAUAUUCACAGGGGGGGCCAGCCCUGGGCCGAGUGGUGAAGUUCACACGGUCUGCUUCAGCAGCCCAGGAUCUUGCCGGUUCAGAUCCUGGGCAUAGACAUGGCACCGCUCAUCAAGCCAUGCUGAGGCAGCGUCCCACAUAACAGAACCAGAGGCACUCACAACUAAGAUAUACAAUUAUGUACUGGGGGUCUUUGGAGAGAAGAAGAAGAAAAAAUAAAAAACAAGAUUGGCAACAGAUGUUAACUCAGGUGCCAAUCUUUAAAAAAAAAUAAUAUUCACAGUUUCUGGGGAUUACUGGCCUGGAUACAUGGACAUCUUUUGGACAACAAUGUCUUUUGCCCUUUUUCCAAUUGGAUUGCUUG
Equus caballus (horse) is the source of this 4740-nucleotide long non-coding RNA. NCBI's taxonomy places the organism in Eukaryota, Metazoa, Chordata, Mammalia, Perissodactyla, Equidae. The record is from Ensembl.